CAAUAGCGUAUAUUAAAGUUGUUGCAGUUAAAAAGCUCGUAGUUGGAUUUGUGGCGUACGGUGUGUUCCGGGCACUUGUUGUCUGAGUAACCUGCUGUUGCCAUCCUUGGGUGGAACCUGUGUGGCAUUAGGUUGUCGUGCAGGGGAUGCCCAUCAUUUACCGUGAAAAAAUUAGAGUGUUCAAAGCAGGCUUAUGCCGUUGAAUAUAUUAGCAUGGAAUAAUGAGAUAGGACUUUUUUGCUAUUUUGUUGGUUUGCGCAAGAAGGUAAUGAUUAAUAGGGACAGUUGGGGGUAUUCGUAUUCCAUUGUCAGAGGUGAAAUUCUUGGAUUUUUGGAAGACGAACUACUGCGAAAGCAUUUACCAAGGAUGUUUUCAUUAA
Molecule: ribosomal RNA, 380 nt
Filed under: uncultured eukaryote
Lineage: Eukaryota
Description: partial 18S ribosomal RNA
Rfam family: Eukaryotic small subunit ribosomal RNA
Source: RNAcentral